GGACGGCACCUGACCUUCAUUGAGUAUGGAUACUAUCUUCUUCACGUCUUCAACGGUUCCAUUCUACAUCCGAAUUCAAUUCAAAACAAACAAUCGAGUAAACCUCCUUCCACAUUUUCAAAUUACAUCAAAAACUGAAAAAUCCAUGUAUUUCCAGUGGCUGCCGACAAAAAGCUUCCUGGCCAUCGUUGUUCGAGAGAGUGAUCUCCGAUUUCGCUUGCUCACUGUAGAAAGUAGCUUCCGGAGACGAGAAAUUCUCGUACUGGGGCCAUAAUAAAGUAAUAAACCAAUUCAUGGCCAUAAUAAUUAAACUAAGUAUUAGCAUCAUUUGAAUCAGACUUAUAACCGCACCUUCAAAUACGGAGACCUCGCACUACUACUCCCGUUGGCUGAUGAAACUCCAUCUUAU
This 409-nucleotide unclassified non-coding RNA is filed under the name Hevea brasiliensis (rubber tree). Lineage: Eukaryota; Viridiplantae; Streptophyta; Magnoliopsida; Malpighiales; Euphorbiaceae. The record is from RNAcentral.